This 538-nucleotide ribosomal RNA is filed under the name uncultured bacterium. RNAcentral's name for it is "bacterial SSU rRNA". It matches the Rfam family "Bacterial small subunit ribosomal RNA", at positions 387 to 917 of the family's 1533-position model. The record is from RNAcentral.
UCCAGCAAUGCCGCGUGAGUGAAGAAGGCCUUCGGGUUGUAAAGCUCUUUUGUCAGGGAAGAAAAGGGUACGGCUAAUAUCCGUGCCUCAUGACGGUACCUGAAGAAUAAGCACCGGCUAACUACGUGCCAGCAGCCGCGGUAAUACGUAGGGUGCAAGCGUUAAUCGGAAUUACUGGGCGUAAAGCGUGCGCAGGCGGUUUUGUAAGUCUGUUGUGAAAUCCCCGGGCUUAACCUGGGAAUGGCAAUGGAGACUGCAAGGCUAGAGUUUGGCAGAGGGGGGUAGAAUUCCACGUGUAGCAGUGAAAUGCGUAGAGAUGUGGAGGAACACCGAUGGCGAAGGCAGCCCCCUGGGUCAAGACUGACGCUCAUGCACGAAAGCGUGGGGAGCAAACAGGAUUAGAUACCCUGGUAGUCCACGCCCUAAACGAUGUCUACUAGUUGUUGGGUCUUAAUUGACUUAGUAACGCAGCUAACGCGUGAAGUAGACCGCCUGGGGAGUACGGUCGCAAGAUUAAAACUCAAAGGAAUUUGACGGA